Triticum dicoccoides is the source of this 1859-nucleotide long non-coding RNA. RefSeq lists it as uncharacterized. The transcript has 7 exons. The record is from RefSeq and is a predicted model, not a curated record. NCBI's taxonomy places the organism in Eukaryota, Viridiplantae, Streptophyta, Magnoliopsida, Poales, Poaceae.
GGUGGGCCGGCGCUGCUCCUAGUCCCGUUCGUCGGUGGCACUGGCUGCUGCGCGUCUAUUCGCCAUUGGGAUUCACCAAUCCCAUCCGCGCCCAUCCUCCCAAACGUGCAAGGGUUCACCAACCCUUCGUCAAGCCUGCGACCCCUCUGCCUCGUCUCCUCCUUGCUCCCUCUCCCACGUCAUUGCCCUCGAGCCCGCGCCCCCUCCACCUCGUCUCCUCUCCAACGCCUCUGCCCUUGAUGUGCCGUCAGGGACGCCGUCGACACGUCGGGGAUACGUAGCGAUGGAGCUCAGCCCGAGCCCAGCAGAAGCCCACUCCUAACCCUAUUCGCUCGAUUGACAAGACCAGAUAACGGAUUGGAUCGAGGGCGCCCGCAUGGCCUCGCCGCCACUCCCGCCUGGAUUCGCUAGCCGCCGCGUGGAGUCACCCUGGCCGCCGCCUCGAGUCACCUCCGUCGCUGCCGCCUCGAGUCACCUCCAUCGCCGCCACGAAUCAGCUCCACCGUUGCCGCCAGGAAUCUCGUCCAGGCAAGGAAUGAAUGUUCUACGGUUGGAGCAGAGGGGGUCGGGUAGCAGUUGAGCUUAGGCAUGAAUUUACAGGUUCAAGAUUUUCUUACACAUGGGGCUUAUUCUCCUAAUGUUUCUAGGUGGCUACUCAUGUCUGGCUUGGUGCCUAUAUUUUAGAUGUUCCAUUAAUAUUGGCUGCUUUUCUCAUCCGUUCUGGGCUUUAACCUUGGAUCUAGAAGGUUGCAGCUUCUUUGUUCUCCUACUCAAGAUUUGCUCAUUGUUCAGUUCAAGCCAUGUUCCUCAGGGAAAAUCAUUUUUUCUUCACUUCCAGGGCCAGCGUCGCUCAACUUUGCUUGGAGCAUGCUUAUUUGUUUCUACAUUGCCUUUGCUUAAUAUUUUCUCUUGAUUUCCUAUGUGAUUGAGAUGCAUGCCUAUCUCGACUGUUCUGUUGUGCUGGCAAUUUCUCGCCAUUGUCCCAUUAUAACUGUUAUUGGUCACGUACCUGGUGCACUUCUAAUUUUGAAUUGUGCUUGUUGAGUGCCCUCAUUUUGUUUACUACCUUCCGUUGGUGUAUAUGCAAGCUGUAUAGGUUUGUUGUUCAAUCUGGUUAUAGCUUUAUUCUCCUAUUUUCUUACUCAUUGCCACAUUGUCUUAGUUAUUACUCCCUCCGUUCCUAAAUAUGGCUUUCUAGAGAUUUCAAUAUGGACUACAUAUGGAUGUAUGUAGACGGUUAAUAAACCUCCUACAUGUUAUUAAAGAUUGGUCUCUUGCUCUUUUUGCUUAUGAAUCGUACACUUCUCUUUUCUUAGUACUUACACCUAGCUUUGGCCUCAUCCUUUGAUGGUUUGUGUAGUGAAAGUGGUGAUGAUGUUGCUUAAAGGCGCCUCAACUUGCAGCAAAUAUAUGGGCAUGUGCAACUGCAACUUAUGUAGGACAAUUUGUUCUCUAUUGUUUUUAUUUAGAAGUUUCUCCAUGAUGGUACUUUCAACCUGGAAACUUGAAAAAGAAUCAAGGCCGGUGACCCAGCUUUUGUUCUAUGGGAAGCCCUUCGUCAAAUGAAGCUCCAACCUGAGCAAGGGCAUAGUAGCAGGUGGUGUAUCUGUUUAAUGUGUGUUAGAAGAGGCGAGCGCUUGGUUGAUGUUGUAUGCACAUUCUUUUUCAAAACAGUAUAUCAUGAAGCUUUGACAAUUUGUUUGCUGUCAUCUCUUUUUCAAACAGUAUAUCAUCUUCUAGUUGUUUAAUCUGUAUUGUAGAGUCGAUGACUAUCCAAACUAUUCUUUGUAAACCAACAAGAUUGUGAAUCGCUAACCACAUCUUCUAAGACAAUCUUGAAAUACUUUGUUGGUUCUAUA